Molecule: ribosomal RNA, 128 nt
Organism: Gorilla gorilla gorilla (western lowland gorilla)
Lineage: Eukaryota; Metazoa; Chordata; Mammalia; Primates; Hominidae
Source: Ensembl
AUCUACAGCCAUAUCAUCCUGAACAUGCUUGACCUCGUCUGAUCUCAGACGCUAAGCAGGGUUAGGCCUGGUAAGUACUUGGAUGGGAGUCAUGUCUUAAUUCUUUGAAGAAUGCUUCAUUAUAUUUG